RNAcentral lists this ribosomal RNA (374 nucleotides) under Arthrobacter koreensis. Its description in RNAcentral is "bacterial SSU rRNA". It matches the Rfam family "Bacterial small subunit ribosomal RNA", at positions 67 to 437 of the family's 1533-position model. The record is from RNAcentral. Lineage: Bacteria; Bacillati; Actinomycetota; Actinomycetes; Micrococcales; Micrococcaceae.
CGAUGACUUCUGUGCUUGCACAGAAUGAUUAGUGGCGAACGGGUGAGUAACACGUGAGUAACCUGCCCUUAACUUCGGGAUAAGCCUGGGAAACCGGGUCUAAUACCGGAUACGACCUCCUGGCGCAUGCCAUGGUGGUGGAAAGCUUUAGCGGUUUUGGAUGGACUCGCGGCCUAUCAGCUUGUUGGUUGGGGUAAUGGCCCACCAAGGCGACGACGGGUAGCCGGCCUGAGAGGGUGACCGGCCACACUGGGACUGAGACACGGCCCAGACUCCUACGGGAGGCAGCAGUGGGGAAUAUUGCACAAUGGGCGAAAGCCUGAUGCAGCGACGCCGCGUGAGGGAUGACGGCCUUCGGGUUGUAAACCUCUUUC